This 292-nucleotide ribosomal RNA is filed under the name uncultured Bacteroidota bacterium. RNAcentral describes it as "uncultured Bacteroidetes bacterium partial 16S ribosomal RNA". Lineage: Bacteria; Pseudomonadati; Bacteroidota. The record is from RNAcentral.
GGACUACAGGGGUAUCUAAUCCUGUUUGAUACCCACGCUUUCGUGCCUCAGCGUCAGUUACAGUUUUGUGAGCUGCCUUCGCAAUCGGUGUUCUGUGUCAUAUCUAAGCAUUUCACCGCUACAUGACACAUUCCGCCCACAUCAAAUGUACUCAAGAUUGACAGUAUCAAUGGCAGUUUCGGAGUUAAGCUCCGAGAUUUCACCACUGACUUAUCAUUCCGCCUACGCACCCUUUAAACCCAAUGAAUCCGGAUAACGCUUGGAUCCUCCGUAUUACCGCGGCUGCUGGCAC